This 493-nucleotide ribosomal RNA is filed under the name uncultured bacterium. Its description in RNAcentral is "partial 16S ribosomal RNA". It matches the Rfam family "Bacterial small subunit ribosomal RNA", at positions 30 to 507 of the family's 1533-position model. The record is from RNAcentral.
AUUGAACGCUGGCGGCAUGCUUUACACAUGCAAGUCGAACGGCAACGCGGAGAAGCUUGCUUCUCUGUCGGCGAGUGGCGAACGGGUGAGUAUAGCAUCGGAACGUGCCAAGUAGUGGGGGAUAACCAAACGAAAGUUUGGCUAAUACCGCGUAAGCUCCAAGGAGGAAAGUAGGGGACCUAAAUAAGGCCUUACGCUAUUUGAUCGGCCGAUGUCGGAUUAGCUAGUUGGUGGGGUAAUGGCUCACCAAGGCAAUGAUCCGUAGCGGGUCUGAGAGGACGAUCCGCCACAAUGGGACUGAGACACGGCCCAGACUCCUACGGGAGGCAGCAGUGGGGAAUUUUGGACAAUGGGGGAAACCCUGAUCCAGCCAUGCCGCGUGUAUGAAGAAGGCCUUAGGGUUGUAAAGUACUUUUGUUAGGGAAGAAAAGCUAGUUUUUAAUAAAAAUUAGUGAUGACGGUACCUAAAGAAUAAGCACCGGCUAACUACGUG